CCUACGGGAGGCAGCAGUGGGGAAUAUUGCACAAUGGGGGAAACCCUGAUGCAGCGACGCCGCGUGAGUGAAGAAGUAAUUCGUUAUGUAAAGCUCUAUCAGCAGGGAAGUAAAUGACGGUACCUGAGUAAGAAGCCCCGGCUAACUACGUGCCAGCAGCCGCGGUAAUACGUAGGGGGCAAGCGUUAUCCGGAUUUACUGGGUGUAACGGGAGCGUAGACGGCAGUGCAAGUCUGUAGUGAAAGGCGGGGCUCAACCCCCGGACUGCUCUGGAAACUGUACGGCUGGAGUGCAGGAGAGGUAAGUGGAAUUCCUAGUGUAGCGGUGAAAUGCGUAGAUAUUAGGAGGAACACCAGUGGCGAAGGCAGCUUACUGGACUGUAACUGACGUUGAGGCUCGAAAGCGUGGGGAGCAAACAGGAUUAGAUACCCUGGUAGUC
This 439-nucleotide ribosomal RNA is filed under the name uncultured bacterium. RNAcentral's name for it is "partial 16S ribosomal RNA". It matches the Rfam family "Bacterial small subunit ribosomal RNA", at positions 338 to 795 of the family's 1533-position model. The record is from RNAcentral.